Molecule: ribosomal RNA, 465 nt
Filed under: uncultured bacterium
Lineage: Bacteria
Description: partial 16S ribosomal RNA
Rfam family: Bacterial small subunit ribosomal RNA
Source: RNAcentral
CCUACGGGAGGCAGCAGUGGGGAAUAUUGCGCAAUGGGCGAAAGCCUGACGCAGCGACGCCGCGUGAGGGAUGAAGGUCUUCGGAUUGUAAACCUCUGUCAGCAGGGAAGAACGGUCACUGUGCUAAUCAGCAGUGACUUGACGGUACCUGCAAAGCACGCACCGGCUAACUCCGUGCCAGCCGCCGCGGUAAUACGGGGGGUGCGAGCGUUAAUCGGAAUGACUGGGCGUAAAGGGUUCGUAGGCGGUAUGUCAAGCCAAGGGUGAAAUCCACGGGCUCAACGUAGGAACUGCCUUUGAAACUGGAAAGCUGGAGUGUGUGAGAGGAUAGUGGAAUUCCAGGUGUAGGAGUGAAAUGCGUAGAUAUCGGGAGGAACAUCAGUGGCGAAGGCGACGAUCUGGCACAUAACUGACGCUGAGGCUCGAAAGCGUGGGGAGCAAACAGGAUUAGAUACCCUUGUAGUC